RNAcentral lists this ribosomal RNA (253 nucleotides) under uncultured bacterium. RNAcentral describes it as "partial 16S ribosomal RNA". It matches the Rfam family "Bacterial small subunit ribosomal RNA", at positions 524 to 776 of the family's 1533-position model. The record is from RNAcentral.
UACGGAGGGUGCAAGCGUUGUCCGGAUUUAUUGGGUUUAAAGGGUGCGUAGGCGGCCGCUUAAGUCAGGGGUGAAAGACUGCAGCUCAACUGUAGCAGUGCCUUUGAUACUGAGUGGCUUGAGUACAGAUGAGGCCGGCGGAAUGGGUGGUGUAGCGGUGAAAUGCAUAGAUACCAUCCAGAACACCGAUUGCGAAGGCAGCCGGCUAAACUGUAACUGACGCUGAGGCACGAAAGCGUGGGGAUCGAACAGG